Molecule: ribosomal RNA, 253 nt
Filed under: uncultured bacterium
Lineage: Bacteria
Description: partial 16S ribosomal RNA
Rfam family: Bacterial small subunit ribosomal RNA
Source: RNAcentral
UACGUAGGGGGCAAGCGUUGUCCGGAAUCAUUGGGCGUAAAGAGCGUGUAGGCGGCUCGGUAAGUCCGCUGUGAAAGUCCAGGGCUCAACCCUGGAAUGCCGGUGGAAACUGUCGAGCUAGAGUCCGGAAGAGGCGAGUGGAAUUCCUGGUGUAGCGGUGAAAUGCGCAGAUAUCAGGAGGAACACCAAUGGCGAAGGCUGCUUCUUGGCUCAUUGCUGACGCUGAGGCGCGAAAGCGUGGGGAGCAAACAGG